RNAcentral lists this long non-coding RNA (612 nucleotides) under Pongo abelii (Sumatran orangutan). RNAcentral describes it as "lincRNA". Lineage: Eukaryota; Metazoa; Chordata; Mammalia; Primates; Hominidae. The record is from RNAcentral.
AGCGUAUUAUAAGAUGAUUAAAUAUGCACAGUACAAGUAUGUUAUGGAAGGCUGUGUUAACUGAUAUAUUGGGACCACAAUAGUAUGUGUAAGUGAGAUUUGGAAAAUUUGAUAUGCUAGCAAGGACAAAGAAGUGUUGAAUUUGCAAGUUUGUGCACAUAAUUCUGAGAAUCCAGGCAGCUAUUUCUCCUUUUGAAUUGUUCCCUUGGCUAGGGGAUAAGGGUGAGACACAACACACAUUUGAAUGUGUCACUGUGUAAGUUACCACUGCAAUAUUUUCUGUAUGUUGAAAAACUGGUACUUAUAUGUACUAAUAUUAUCUACCAUGAAAAAACAAUUAAAAAUUUAAAAUAUUAUGUAAAUUAAAUAAAGUUCAAAUACCAGUAGCCAGAAAAAAUAUAUUAUAGUCUGGGGUCAGAAUAGGAAAAACUUAUGUAAAGUAUCAAAAUUAAUUUUUAUUUCAAUUUAAAUGCACCAUCAUAUAACAUAGUUUCAUAACUGAAAUUACAUUUGUCAGAAUUUGAUAUUUUCAUUAUUAAAGAAUUGAGGGAAAACUGAUGGUUAUAAUAUUGAUAUGCAAUGUAAAUAAACUUUUUUUCAUUUUUAUAGGAA